CCAAGGCGCACAGGGCCGGGGGCCAUAGCUGUCACUAAACUGACCCGGCGGCCUGAGCUGCAAGUCUGGAGAUGACAAGCUGGCGGCCUCCCUGGGCGCCGCCCCUAAGGCUUGGAAGACUUUCACAGAACCUCAGGGUGGAAACUGGUGUCCUCCUUCACACCCCUGUCGCCAAACACCUUAUCCCACCUUUCCACAGGGUAAUCCCAUAAUCAUGGUCAGGGGAGAGAGGACCGGCCAGAGCCCAGGGCAAGGGGACACACGCCAAGCAGCCAAGCUUUGGAGCAGCCCCUGGAGGGGCCAGCACACAUUCCUCCGCCUCCUCCUUGACGCCACUGGGCUCCCCAGCCAGAGAUCUGGGCCAGGGAAGGGCCUGAGGGAGAAGACGGCAGAGACAAAAGGAAGUAUCCAGAAAGGCCCUCCUGGUCCUUGUCCCGUGGCUUCAUGGACGAAGGCUGAAUCCGGGCGGAGAAUGGACAAGCUGCUCCGGGCCCCCGGCGACAUCUCCGAGGUGUCAGCCUCCCCCAGCCCCGCGGCCCGGGAACAGUUGCUCUGGCGGCAGUUUUCUCUGAUGAAGAAAACAACUUUGUCCAUUAGGAAGUCAGCCAUCAGCCUGUCAUUUUGCUUCUUGCCAAAUGUGAAUUCCUCGCUGUGGAUUUCCUCCUCGGCUGGGCCUGAACAAAGAGCUGUUCAAAAGCUUGUGGCUUCAGCUGCCUUUGUAGUUUCAUUAUCCACUUUUCAAGGAACGAUGGAAAGACAAUGUUUAGGCUGC
This is a long non-coding RNA of Condylura cristata (star-nosed mole), 772 nucleotides long. RefSeq lists it as uncharacterized. The transcript is spliced from 3 exons. The record is from RefSeq and is a predicted model, not a curated record. Lineage: Eukaryota; Metazoa; Chordata; Mammalia; Eulipotyphla; Talpidae.